RNAcentral lists this ribosomal RNA (406 nucleotides) under uncultured bacterium. RNAcentral's name for it is "partial 16S ribosomal RNA". It matches the Rfam family "Bacterial small subunit ribosomal RNA", at positions 30 to 526 of the family's 1533-position model. The record is from RNAcentral.
AUUGAACGCUGGCGGCAGGCCUAACACAUGCAAGUCGGGCGAGUGGCGGACGGGUGAGUAAUGUAUGGGGAUCUGCCUGAUGGAGGGGGAUAACUACUGGAAACGGUAGCUAAUACCGCAUACCAUCAGAUGAACCCAGAUGGGAUUAGCUUGUUGGUGAGGUAACGGCUCAACUAGGCGACGAUCCCUAGCUGGUCUGAGAGGAUGAACAGCCACACUGUAACUGAGACACGGCCCAGACUCCUACGGGAGGCAGCAGUGGGGAAGAUUGCACAAUGGGCGCAAGCCUGAUGCAGCCAUGCCGCGUGUAUGAAGAAGGCCUUCGGGUUGUAAAGUACUUUCAGUCGGGAGGCGUUACCGGCAGAAGAAGCACCGGCUAACUCCGUGCCAGCAGCCGCGGUAAUAC